AACGGAGCAUAAUGCAAGCAUUGAGUCUGUGAGGUGUUAAAGCCAGAACGGUUGUUAAAACCACAAGUCACUCAACUCGUGUAACUGGAGCAUGAUUUUUUUUGGUCCCCUGCUUCCAUCCACUUAAAUGUUUAGCGUCGGUAAGAAAGACUGAACACAUUGGAGUUGUUUCAUUGCAGGUCCACCCAGUACUCAUGGUGAUCGGCUUCAUACUUUUAAAUGGUGAAGGUAAACAUGUUCUCCUUUUCUUUUUCUCAUACCAUAACACAUAAUGAAGAAUAUAUAUAACAACUGGAAGUGCCACUAUGUUAGAGCAGUAAAAGCCUAUUGUGAUUGAGAAAGAGUUGUGGGAUUCAAAUUCUCCUUAUGCCCAAAGGAUUCAGAGAAAGGGGGGAAAAAGAAAACAUACAGCUCUCUCUUAUCUCUUACUUUAGCUUUAUAAAUUCCUCAGGAGUCUCGAGUAAAUUUAUAUUCUAUUCUUUUGGUUGUCUGCAAUUGGGUGAUGCAGACUUGAAUAGUGACUUGCAAGGGCAUUACGGCCACCUUUUAUAAUGUUAUCAAAUUCAUUGCUUGGAACAAUUCUUUAAUAAAGAGAGUGCUUGAAUUUGGCAUGCAUAUGGUGGCCUUGUUUUAGUCAUGUAGAUCCUGUUGUCAAUCUUCACUGAUAUGUAUUAAAUUGACAAGGAUGCACCAAAAAUGUUCAUGAUGUUUGACGAGCAUGAAGUUCAUGGUGGUGGAGAGGUUAGAGAAGGUACUCCCGUAGGGAGCAGCAGUACGAUACGACGUUCUAAGGCAAACGACGCUGAUAACAGGGAUGCUGACAACGACGAUGAUGAGGAAUGAGUGAUACUUGAUCUUAUAUGUAGUUUUCAAUUGUGUGAAGACAUAUUAUGACUUGAAUUUUACCUAUAUGUAAUAUAUUUGUGAUUUUAUUGCGUAGUGAAUGAAUAUUAUUUGAGCAUGCGAGAUGUAUUGUGAUUGUGAUUA
This is a long non-coding RNA of Asparagus officinalis (garden asparagus), 987 nucleotides long. RefSeq lists it as uncharacterized. Lineage: Eukaryota; Viridiplantae; Streptophyta; Magnoliopsida; Asparagales; Asparagaceae. The record is from RefSeq and is a predicted model, not a curated record. The transcript is spliced from 2 exons.